GUCCACGCCGUAAACGAUGGGCACUAGGCGUCGGGGGGAGCGACCCUCCCGGUGCCGUCGCUAACGCAAUAAGUGCCCCGCCUGGGGAGUACGGCCGCAAGGUUGAAACUCAAAGGAAUUGACGGGGGCCCGCACAAGCGGUGGAGCAUGUGGUUUAAUUCGAUGCAACGCGAAGAACCUUACCUGGGCUUGACAUGUACGUGAAAAGUCCGUGGAAAACACGGAUCCUCCUUCGGGACGCGUACACAGGUGCUGCAUGGCUGUCGU
RNAcentral lists this ribosomal RNA (267 nucleotides) under uncultured bacterium. RNAcentral describes it as "partial 16S ribosomal RNA". It matches the Rfam family "Bacterial small subunit ribosomal RNA", at positions 793 to 1055 of the family's 1533-position model. The record is from RNAcentral.